GGAAGGUUGUCCGAGCUGGCCGAAGGAGCACGCCUGGAAAGUGUGUAAACGCUAACCGCGUUUCAAGGGUUCGAAUCCCUUACCUUCCGCUA
This 92-nucleotide transfer RNA is filed under the name Macrococcoides caseolyticum. RNAcentral describes it as "tRNA-Ser". It matches the Rfam family "tRNA". From Rfam's summary of the family: Transfer RNA (tRNA) molecules are approximately 80 nucleotides in length. Lineage: Bacteria; Bacillati; Bacillota; Bacilli; Caryophanales; Staphylococcaceae. The record is from RNAcentral. RNAcentral also lists the same sequence under 3 other names.